AACUUUCGGCAAUGGAUCACUUGGUUCCGGCAUCGAUGAAGAACGCAGCGAAAUGCGAUACGUAAUGUGAAUUGCAAAUUCAGUGAAUCAUCGAGUCUUUGAACGCACAUUGCGCCCCCUGGUAUUCCGGGGGGCAUGCCUGUCCGAGCGUCAUUUCUGCCCUCAAGCACGGCUUGUGUGUUGGGCCCCGUCCUCCGAUUCCGGGGGACGGGCCCGAAAGGCAGCGGCGGCACCGAGUCCGGUCCUCGAGCGUAUGGGGCUUUGUCACCCGCUCUGUAGGCCCGGCCGGCGCUUGCCGAUCAACCCAAAUUUUUAUCCAGGUUGACCUCGGAUCAGGUAGGGAUACCCGCUGAACUUAAGCAUAUCAAUAAGCGGAGGCU
Molecule: unclassified non-coding RNA, 380 nt
Filed under: uncultured Penicillium
Lineage: Eukaryota; Fungi; Ascomycota; Eurotiomycetes; Eurotiales; Aspergillaceae
Description: sequence contains ITS2
Rfam family: 5.8S ribosomal RNA (bases 1-153)
Source: RNAcentral